GCCGUGGUGCUCAGGAGAAAUAGAGGGAGGGGAGUCACAUUUCGUGAGGCUUAACGUCAACAUGAGCAAAUAAUGCACAGGCUGAUGUCUUCAUUGAGCUCCAUGGAAAAUUCAAAUAGUCAUGAGAAUAAAGAAGACUCGAAGUAGAGUGAGAACUGGAAAAGAGAAAGAUGGAGAAAGAGUUCAUCAACUUGUGGGAAAUCGUCAUCGCCUAUUUCGUAGCCCGAACCUGACCAAUCAUUGGCAGGCUACGUAUACGGGUAUUGUCGUGGUAAAACACCCCCGGACUCUCCUGGUCAUCAUAAUGGUCGUCGCCAUUACAAUUGUUUUGAACGAGCCAUUAUUACCUCAAGAGAAAUCCGCCCCACUGGCUAAAUUGUCACCAGAGCAAAAAAAAGUCCGAAAAAGAUUCAUUUUGCACCGCAGCUCGAACGUCUUCCCCCGAUGCUAAAAAGCCGAUGAAUUACUUUCAUUAAAUUGUUCUGGGAGCCAUUGUUAAUGGUACGAAGGCUACGUACGGAGGCAUCAUAACUUAUCCGUCGAAAUGGUCCAAGUGGUCUAGAAACCCUCAAUGCGAUGAUGUUGAUAAUGAGAUGCCAGGCAAAGGCGAUGUGCAUUUGUUAAAUUGGAGAGUUUCCAAAAUUGAUAUUCCCUGUUGUUCAAAGAAAUGCAACCCCUAAAAUAAGAUUGGAACCACAGUCCUGUUUGAGUACACCCUCCAGUAAGGAAUUCUCAACUCUUGGCUUGACCAAACCUCAUGGAAAUUCCUAUUCUACAGAAAGCUUGGGAAUGGUAGUGGCUAUUUUCAGAGCCUUGGGAUCAUCACCAUCAUCAUCAUCAUCAUCAUUGACGACAAGACGGCUUGUCAUGUAAGCAGGAUUUGAUUGUUUCAUCAGAAAACGCAUUCAAUAAGGGACAUUCCUCGCAAACGAGGAUGAAAAGGAAUCGAUUUGCUCUUCAGUUUAUGCUAAACGACGUCAGGCGUGUGUGCGUGUGUGUGUGUGCGUGUACAUCGUUAUCACGUUAUCACACAUCAGUCAGGCCAGUCCGGAGUUGCCCUGGAAGUCUGCAUGACCAUUACCUAAUUUCAUUGUUAACCACGGGAAAAUUGUGCAAUAAGUUCGUAUGCGUGGACACAAGAUAGCCAAGUACUACAUAAUACAGAGUAGUAUAUUGCAGGCCAGCGGUGAUCCUUAUUAGGAUCGUCCACGAUUUCAAUCAAGACAAUACGCCGAUCGAAGCGUGCAGAGCGAGAAGAGGCAAUUUUGCGCUAAAACGAUUAAGAUCUUCCUUGCGAUGUUGCAAUGCAGAAAGUAAAAAUUGUAAAUGCUCUCCGGCCUUGACAUUGCCUGUCCAACUUGCAUAUCGAUUACCCAAUCAUCUUUUAUUUAUUCGAUCAUUCACUCUCUUUCUCAUACGUAUAAAA
Molecule: long non-coding RNA, 1426 nt
Organism: Tigriopus californicus
Lineage: Eukaryota; Metazoa; Arthropoda; Copepoda; Harpacticoida; Harpacticidae
Exons: 3
Source: RefSeq, a predicted model, not a curated record